AUGGGUGUCCGACUGCUGGUGAUUGCACCACUGGUUGAGUCCGGAGGGGAUGUCAAAAGGCCUGGGGAUUCCCUCCGCCUCACCUGCCGAGCCUCUGGAUUCACAUUCGGGAGCUAUGGAAUGCAUUGGGUGAGGCAGGCUCCUGGAAAAGGCUUGGAAUGGGUGGCAUAUAUAAGCUCAGGUUCAUCUACCAUUUAUUACUCGAAUGAAGUGAAGGGACGAUUUACCAUGUCCAGGGAUAAUUCAAAGAGCUUCUUGUAUCUGCAAAUGAACAACCUGAAAUCUGAGGACACGGCUGCGUAUUAUUGUGCGAGAGACACAGUGAGAGGAAGUGAAUCUGAAGGCAGGCAAAAACCUCCUUUUGAUCAUGAGACCUCCCCAUGCAAUUGA
Rhineura floridana is the source of this 390-nucleotide non-coding RNA. NCBI's taxonomy places the organism in Eukaryota, Metazoa, Chordata, Lepidosauria, Squamata, Rhineuridae. The record is from the annotation of a RefSeq genome assembly.